Molecule: long non-coding RNA, 656 nt
Organism: Ceratina calcarata
Lineage: Eukaryota; Metazoa; Arthropoda; Insecta; Hymenoptera; Apidae
Exons: 3
Source: RefSeq, a predicted model, not a curated record
AUAAUUCGGACCGCAAGGAAUACCAGGUAGUCAUUACCUGUUCAACUCUGUUUUUUUAGUGGCUAAGUUCUGGCAUCGUUUUUAGAUAUAAAAGCAGCUCUCGGUCAACCAAUAGACGCACAACAGCUCUCGACUUCAUGAGAGCAACAUCUCAGUACAAAUUUUCGAGUCGAAUUCUCGCGUCGAACGGGCAAGUUCCGGAACAAACAAACUGCAUUACAGUAGAACGUUUUAUGUAAGUUGUGAAUAUUGAAAUAUAUCGAUAUGAGAAAAAUUGAUUUACUUUCUUACACCUCGUUUAGGAAAUCAGUGAUUCAUUGAUCUCCAUUUCACGUUAAACUAAACGUGAUGAAUCAACAACAACAAAGAAAGAGUGUCACACAUUCAAGCAGGACGUCAUUUUUUGUUGAAACCUUUAUUUAUUUGAUUUCAAUGUCAUCCGAAGUCAUACAAAGUACUAUUUAAAAGAAAAUGAAGAUAUUGCUCAUAAACGUCUAUGUAACGAUACAUUGCUAACGGGAAACACAGACUCUUGGAACCUUUUUAUCUCGUCUUUACUAUAGCCCCAACUCCUGAAAACUACCGCUAGAAUACGGCGCCCUGCCGAAGAGACAUUCGUACAUGAUUACGCCGACGCUCCACAAAUCGACGCGAGC